UACGGAGGGGGCUAGCGUUGUUCGGAAUUACUGGGCGUAAAGCGCACGUAGGCGGCUUUGUAAGUUAGAGGUGAAAGCCCGGGGCUCAACCCCGGAAUUGCCUUUAAGACUGCAUCGCUUGAACGUCGGAGAGGUGAGUGGAAUUCCGAGUGUAGAGGUGAAAUUCGUAGAUAUUCGGAAGAACACCAGUGGCAAAGGCGGCUCACUGGACGACUGUUGACGCUGAGGUGCGAAAGCGUGGGGAGCAAACAGG
This 253-nucleotide ribosomal RNA is filed under the name uncultured bacterium. RNAcentral describes it as "partial 16S ribosomal RNA". It matches the Rfam family "Bacterial small subunit ribosomal RNA", at positions 524 to 776 of the family's 1533-position model. The record is from RNAcentral.